RNAcentral lists this ribosomal RNA (135 nucleotides) under Planctomycetota bacterium. RNAcentral's name for it is "Planctomycetes bacterium partial 23S ribosomal RNA". It matches the Rfam family "Bacterial large subunit ribosomal RNA", at positions 2779 to 2925 of the family's 2925-position model. Lineage: Bacteria; Pseudomonadati; Planctomycetota. The record is from RNAcentral.
AUAUAAGCGUGAAGCCUACCGCAAAACUAGAUAUCCCAUGAGGUACCUCGAAGACUACGAGGUUGAUAGGCCGGAAGUGUAAGUGCAGUGAUGUAUUCAGCUGACCGGUACUAAUUUGCCGAUUGGCUUGACUGU